This is a long non-coding RNA of Micropterus salmoides (largemouth bass), 451 nucleotides long. RefSeq lists it as uncharacterized. The record is from RefSeq and is a predicted model, not a curated record. The transcript is spliced from 3 exons. Lineage: Eukaryota; Metazoa; Chordata; Actinopteri; Centrarchiformes; Centrarchidae.
GAGACAUUUCAUCAUUGGGAUUCAAAAAACACCUCAUAAUAACUCACAAAUAGAAGAUGAUUGAAAUAUUCAAAUAUUUUGUACACUUGUGUCGCACCAGUGUCAUUUAUUGACAUAAAUUUAGAUGUCUCGAGUCAAAAUAGCCCCUUUUAUGCUAAGUUAAUCCAAAACCCCCCACAGACGGGAAACAGUACAGACACAACUCUAGCGAAUGAGGAGCCAUAUUCUUUGAUUUGGGAAACCAAAGCCUGAUGGAAAUGAAAAAGCUCGACAGACACAGAGGCAACACAGCAGCAACAGAAAAUGAUCCUCCAUCACACAGAAACGAGAGCAGUAACUGAGCCGUGUUCAGCGUUCAUCCUCAGACAGCUUUCAACACUGUGACGACUAGUUUCCCUUUUUCAGAAAAGUUGGGAUACUUUCCAAAAUGCAAUAAAAACAAAGAUCUGGG